GAGAACGAACGCUGGCGGCGCGCCUAAUACAUGCAAGUCGAGCGAGAAGACGUAGCAAUACGUUUGUAAAGCGGCGAACGGGUGAGGAAUACAUGGGUAACCUACCCUCGACGUGGGAAUAACUAGCCGAAAGGUUAGCUAAUACCGCGUACGCUCCUUGGACUUCGGUUCAGGGAGGAAAGCGAUACCGUGGGUAUCGCGCUCUUGGAUGGGCUCAUGUCCUAUCAGCUUGUUGGUGAGGUAACGGCUCACCAAGGCUUCGACGGGUAGCUGGUCUGAGAGGACGAUCAGCCACACUGGCACCGCGACACGGGCCAGACUCCUACGGGAGCAGCAGUAAGGAAUAUUGCGCAAUGGGCGAAAGCCUGACGCAGCGACGCCGCGUGGGGGA
This 391-nucleotide ribosomal RNA is filed under the name uncultured bacterium. RNAcentral describes it as "bacterial SSU rRNA". It matches the Rfam family "Bacterial small subunit ribosomal RNA", at positions 26 to 408 of the family's 1533-position model. The record is from RNAcentral.